GCGGCAUGCUUAACACAUGCAAGUCGCACGGCCGGCGACGGCAGUGGCGGACGGGUGAGGAACGCGUAGGAACAUGUCCUGAGGUGGGGGAUAACCCUGGGAAACUGGGGCUAAUACCGCAUGUGAGCUGAGGCUCAAAGCAGUGAUGCGCCUUGGGAGUGGCCUGCGUACGAUUAGCUUGUUGGUGGGGUAACGGCCUACCAAGGCGACGAUCGUUAGCUGGUCUGAGAGGACGGCCAGCCACACUGGGACUGAGACACGGCCCAGACUCCUACGGGAGGCAGCAGUGGGGAAUAUUGGACAAUGGGCGCAAGCCUGAUCCAGCAAUGCCGCGUGGGUGAAGAAGGUCUUCGGAUUGUAAAGCCCUUUCGGCGGGGACGAUGAUGACGGUACCCGCA
This 398-nucleotide ribosomal RNA is filed under the name uncultured Roseomonas sp. RNAcentral's name for it is "bacterial SSU rRNA". It matches the Rfam family "Bacterial small subunit ribosomal RNA", at positions 39 to 483 of the family's 1533-position model. Lineage: Bacteria; Pseudomonadati; Pseudomonadota; Alphaproteobacteria; Acetobacterales; Roseomonadaceae. The record is from RNAcentral.